UUUUGAAGCAGCGUUUUAAAGUUUGUGCCGAACAAAGCAAUUCUGCCGUUGACAGUUGACACUGACAGUAGAGACGACAGGAGACGGCCGACGGCCCAUUCCUGACGACAACAGAUAAACAAAUUUAUAUCAAGAAAUGACAAGUUCUGCACAUAUGAAAUGGCUAUAAGUUAUAUUCCUCGUGUGACCCAGUUGGACGCGGGCCAAUUAGAUGAGCAGCUGGAAGAGUUACUGAAACAACAAUUAUUUAAUGCUACAAAAUUUUUAGAGCCUGGUAUUCUGCAGCCCAUACUACCAGAAUUAGAACUACUUCUCCGAACAUGGAUAUUCAAAUAUUCAGUCUAUGACUACAAAUGCACUUUUGGACAAAAAAUGCUGUCAUUAAAAUAUAACACAACUAAUUUCUCCAAAUCCAAACUUUAUUGGUAUUAUGGAUACACUAUUGGAUUAAAAUAUUUAAAAGAUAGAUCUAUAUACAGUUGGACUUCUAAUACUAAGAUACAAAAUUUUGUGCAUCAGUUAGAAACAUUUCAGUUGUUUGGAGAUAUUUUAAAUGUUUUGAGGUUUAUAAGAAGCGGCAAAUAUCCAGUGCUCAUAGACUUUAUUUUGGGCUUGGAGUUGACUGCUGAUAAACUGACAAGAGAGGACCUGACUGAUUUCUCAUGGACAAGAGAACUGUUAUGGCAUAAUUUUAUUGAACUAAUAGGCACAAUAAUAUCUUUAAUGAACAUAUUUGGUCUCCAAAGACGGCUCAGCAACAUACUAAAGUAUGUGUGGUGGCGGCAGCAUGUGAAGCCAUUGGCAAAGCCUAGUCCACCCGUUAUGACACACCUCACUGUGUGUGCGUGUUGUUUGGCAAGACCAGUGUUACCGCAUACUAUGGGCUGCUCACAUAUCUUCUGUUAUUACUGCUUAUCGACCAAUAAAAUGCUAGAUCCAGACUUCGCGUGUCCAAAAUGUUAUUACAAAGGAAAGGAGAUAAAUAGGUUUACAAUGGUUUAAGUGUAUAAGAGAAAAUGACUUUUUAUUGAUUUGUGAGGUGGAGGUGUCAAUGUUAACUAUGGUGGAAGUGUGGACUAAAGAAAAAUAAGGAAGUCCGUGUGAACAUUUUUGACAUGAGCGAUCCUCGCUGGAGCGGCCAGGGCGAUGUUGUGGUUGACUGCCACCGGCGCCGCGGCGUACUGCGCGACGCCGCCGCCGGAGUGGUGGCUGA
This 1213-nucleotide unclassified non-coding RNA is filed under the name Leguminivora glycinivorella. RNAcentral describes it as "peroxisome biogenesis factor 2, transcript variant X2". Lineage: Eukaryota; Metazoa; Arthropoda; Insecta; Lepidoptera; Tortricidae. The record is from RNAcentral.